AGAGUUUGAUCCUGGCUCAGAUUGAACGCUGGCGGCAUGCCUUACACAUGCAAGUCGAACGGUAACAGGUCUUCGGAUGCUGACGAGUGGCGAACGGGUGAGUAAUACAUCGGAACGUGCCCGAGAGUGGGGGAUAACGAGGCGAAAGCUUUGCUAAUACCGCAUACGAUCUACGGAUGAAAGCAGGGGACCGCAAGGCCUUGCGCUCAUGGAGCGGCCGAUGGCAGAUUAGGUAGUUGGUGGGAUAAAAGCUUACCAAGCCGACGAUCUGUAGCUGGUCUGAGAGGAUGAUCAGCCACACUGGGACUGAGACACGGCCCAGACUCCUACGGGAGGCAGCAGUGGGGAAUUUUGGACAAUGGGCGAAAGCCUGAUCCAGCCAUGCCGCGUGCAGGAUGAAGGCCUUCGGGUUGUAAACUGCUUUUGUACGGAACGAAAAGACUCUUUCUAAUAAGAGGUCCAUGACGGUACCGUAAGAAUAAGCACCGGCUAACUCCGUGCCAGCAGCCGCGGUAAUAC
Molecule: ribosomal RNA, 519 nt
Filed under: uncultured bacterium
Lineage: Bacteria
Description: bacterial SSU rRNA
Rfam family: Bacterial small subunit ribosomal RNA
Source: RNAcentral